Molecule: long non-coding RNA, 828 nt
Organism: Nerophis lumbriciformis (worm pipefish)
Lineage: Eukaryota; Metazoa; Chordata; Actinopteri; Syngnathiformes; Syngnathidae
Source: RefSeq, a predicted model, not a curated record
CUCUUUACGUGUUGUGGUGUGGGACAUUAAUGAUUGACGCACACUGCUACACUGCCACGGAGAACAAAGUACCUUUAAAAUUGCCAACGUAACCACCCAAAAGGAUUUAUUUACCCCUCUAGUGAAUGCGGCCAAUGAGGUUACCUUAAAACAAUUCAUGUUUGUACCCUGACUGUGAUUUUAAUUUGACGCUUUUCAAAGUUCUCACGGCAUGCUCAACAUCAUUAAAGGCCUGUAAAAAAGGAACAUUUGCUUUGGUACUUUCGACUGGAGCGAGUAAGAAAACACCAAGGUGUGCAGCCUUUUGUCUAAGGAUAUCGGUGUCGCAGGGAGAACUUGGAGCAGGAGUUUCAGGGCCUUAGCCAAGCUAGAAGAGGUCAAGGGACAUGGCCACCUUCUGGACUCCUCUUCCCCCCCAGCAAAAGAAGAUUGCUGGAACAAAUCCGGUGGCUUCCAUUGGACGGAAAAAGUUGAGAACUAUUUUAGUUGACUUUUGUCUUUUUAAUUUUUUAAUGCACAUUAUUUAAAAUCUUUGUUUUGAUUGUUUAUUUUUAAACAUCCUGUUGAAUUCCUUUUUUUUUUCUUAGCUGGAAUUAAAUCAUUUAAACAACUCUAGGUAUAUUUUUCUUAACAUAGGCCCACUGAUUUGUAUUAUUUUUUUUCAUUAGUAGAUCAUAAACUUUUUUUUUUGAACAGUUGUUUAUUGUGGUCUAAACUUCGGUUUCUAUACAUCUACUGUAUGUUUUCAUAUAAAUGACAUGGCUUUAUACAUGACACUUAUUCAUUGUUAGAUGUGAACUUGUAUCAAUAAAAGGAUGGAACAAUCAA